UACGGGAGGCAGCAGUGGGGAAUAUUGCACAAUGGGCGCAAGCCUGAUGCAGCCAUGCCGCGUGUAUGAAGAAGGCCUUCGGGUUGUAAAGUACUUUCAGUCGUGAGGAAGGUGUUAAGGUUAAUAACCUUAGCAAUUGACGUUAGCGACAGAAGAAGCACCGGCUAACUCCGUGCCAGCAGCCGCGGUAAUACGGAGGGUGCGAGCGUUAAUCGGAAUUACUGGGCGUAAAGGGCACGCAGGCGGUUAAUUAAGUUGGAUGUGAAAUCCCCGGGCUUAACCUGGGAAUGGCAUUCAAGACUGGUUAGCUAGAGUUUUUGUAGAGGGGGUAGAAUUCCGAUGUGUAGCGGUGAAAUGCGUAGAGAUGUGGAGGAAUACCGGUGGCGAAGGCGGCCCCUGGCAAAGACUGACGCUCAUGUGCGAAAGCGUGGGGAGCAAAC
RNAcentral lists this ribosomal RNA (440 nucleotides) under uncultured bacterium. Its description in RNAcentral is "bacterial SSU rRNA". It matches the Rfam family "Bacterial small subunit ribosomal RNA", at positions 340 to 773 of the family's 1533-position model. The record is from RNAcentral.